GCCAACGUUCAUACUGCGCUGAAGAACACCAGUUCCCGUCCGAUCACUGAAGUCAACCUGCGGAAGGCGCGAUUAGUACUUGGAUGGGUGACCACCUGGGAAAACCGCGUAAUGUUGGCA
RNAcentral lists this ribosomal RNA (120 nucleotides) under Dufourea novaeangliae. The record is from RNAcentral. Lineage: Eukaryota; Metazoa; Arthropoda; Insecta; Hymenoptera; Halictidae.